This 252-nucleotide ribosomal RNA is filed under the name uncultured prokaryote. Its description in RNAcentral is "partial 16S ribosomal RNA". It matches the Rfam family "Bacterial small subunit ribosomal RNA", at positions 549 to 775 of the family's 1533-position model. The record is from RNAcentral.
ACUUCUUCUUCUCUCUUUCUCCUUAUUUACUUUUCUUAAAGCGCUUUCAGGCGGUGCGAUAAGUCGUGCGUGAAAGCUCCCAGGCUUAACCGGGAGAGGACGUGCGAGACUGUCGGACUAGAGGCAGGUAGAGGCAAGUGGAAUUCCGGGUGUAGUGGUGAAAUGCGUAGAGAUCCGGAGGAACCCCGGUGGCGAAGGCGACUUGCUGGGCCUGAACUGACGCUCAGACGCGAAAGCAUGGGGAGCGAACGG